Molecule: long non-coding RNA, 261 nt
Filed under: Hordeum vulgare
Lineage: Eukaryota; Viridiplantae; Streptophyta; Magnoliopsida; Poales; Poaceae
Description: long non-coding RNA (HVUL_LNC021412)
Source: RNAcentral
CUAUGGAGUUGGACAGGACUGGUCGCCGGCAAGCUCCGGGUGGUGGCGUUGCUGGGCGGGAGCGCCUGCUCUGCUGGUGGGAGCGGCUGCUCGACGGAGGGAGGUGCUUCUGGGCUCCUGUACCGGCGGCAGGGCAGCGGAGGCUUUGGCCGGCGGCGGCUAGGAACCCUACUGUCGCGCUUGGGGAAUCUGGUCGUUCGCUCCCGGACGAGGGCGAGGGCAGAGGAGCGCGAGGGUGGGGGAGGGCGUGCGCGGCGUCUG